AUUUAAAAAUCACCGCAGCUUUUUAAUAUUGUCCCAACAAGGCUGUGCAAGAAACAAUCAGGAAAGCUCAGCAGCAUAAAACUAUGAGAAAACUGGGUCUGAGAAUCCAGAUGUCCUGAGUGAGUAAAGGGAAAAUUUUCACUUCUUCCUAUGGAAGCCUGUCACCCCCCAACUCCAUCCUAGGCUGAGGAAGUCUGCGUUCUUCUCUCACGGAGCUGGAGAACCUUUCAAGUGAUUGGCCUAAGAACAGGCAGGAGACGCGAUCUGGACCAAUCAGAAACUUACAUUGAGGUAUGUAUAUGUGCGUGUUGGGAGAAAAAAAUUACUUUAUUUUUCCUUCCAGUUUGCAAAGCUGGGCUAAGAGCAGAGUUUGUCACAACCAAACCUAGAGCUGGAGAAAAGGGGAAGUGGAGAGGCAACCGAAAAUACCAUGAGGUCUCUGAAUCUACACCUCUUCUUUCUAGUUAUUGGAAUCAAUGCAUUCCAGCUUUUUGCUUCAACCAGAAUGAGUUUUGUAUCCCUGGUAACCCUGCCUAAUGCAAGGACUCACUCAGAUUUCCAGAUUCUUAUCUUAGUGUGUUGUCCUUUAGGUCAGCACUUUUCAAGAGCCAUUGCCAUCAUUUAUUCAUUCGUCAAAAUUAUUUUGGACAGAUUCCGGGGUGAAGCGGUCAUGCUAAGAGAAUAACAAACAAGCAUGUGGCCAGUGUUAUGAGGGCUUCAGAUCCAGUCAGGGGUGCAAAAUGAGAAAAAGCUAAUCAAGAAAAUAAAACAGC
RNAcentral lists this long non-coding RNA (773 nucleotides) under Homo sapiens (human). RNAcentral describes it as "HSALNT0356799". Lineage: Eukaryota; Metazoa; Chordata; Mammalia; Primates; Hominidae. The record is from RNAcentral.